GGCUCAGGACGAACGCUGGCGGCGUGCUUAACACAUGCAAGUCGAACGGUGAUGUCAGAGCUUGCUCUGGCGGAUCAGUGGCGAACGGGUGAGUAACACGUGAGUAACCUGCCCCCGACUCUGGGAUAACUGCUAGAAAUGGUAGCUAAUACCGGAUAUGACGAUUGGCCGCAUGGUCUGGUCGUGGAAAGAAUUUCGGUUGGGGAUGGACUCGCGGCCUAUCAGGUUGUUGGUGAGGUAAUGGCUCACCAAGCCUACGACGGGUAGCCGGCCUGAGAGGGUGACCGGCCACACUGGGACUGAGACACGGCCCAGACUCCUACGGGAGGCAGCAGUGGGGAAUAUUGCACAAUGGGCGAAAGCCUGAUGCAGCAACGCCGCGUGAGGGAUGACGGCCUUCGGGUUGUAAACCUCUUUUAGUAGGGAAGAAGCGAAAGUGAC
This 441-nucleotide ribosomal RNA is filed under the name Clavibacter sepedonicus. Its description in RNAcentral is "bacterial SSU rRNA". It matches the Rfam family "Bacterial small subunit ribosomal RNA", at positions 21 to 473 of the family's 1533-position model. The record is from RNAcentral. RNAcentral also lists the same sequence under 1 other name. Lineage: Bacteria; Bacillati; Actinomycetota; Actinomycetes; Micrococcales; Microbacteriaceae.